This is a non-coding RNA of Prunus avium (sweet cherry), 372 nucleotides long. The record is from RefSeq and is a predicted model, not a curated record. Lineage: Eukaryota; Viridiplantae; Streptophyta; Magnoliopsida; Rosales; Rosaceae.
UUCCUUAAGACUACAUAUAUCUUGAAAAUGGCUUCAAGUGAAUGUCAUUCUAACUUUUGUUUCUAGGUCUGGAAGAAAGUGGUAUAUGUAGAUAGAUUACUGCAGCUCUUCAGAUAUGUUCAUCGUGAGCAGUUGUUGACCAUCCCUGACUUUGUGUUCCAUAUAGAGCUAGAAGGAAGGACACUUACACCCAAAUGGAAUUGGAUGAGGUGCGAGAAGAAUUGGCAACUCAUGUCCUAGAAUGACUUUUUGAUUGAGCUAAACAUUCCUUCAUUUUACAUGUCUUUCUAGCUAGUAUUUUGUGGUGUAGGGCUGGUAAAUUUGUGAUUUGGAUGUGACAAGUAUGGAUAAUUCAAGUAUUUUGCGCAUAUA